CCUACGGGAGGCAGCAGUAGGGAAUCUUCCACAAUGGGCGAAAGCCUGAUGGAGCAACGCCGCGUGGGUGAAGAAGGUCUUCGGAUCGUAAAACCCUGUUGUUAGAGAAGAAAGUGCGUGAGAGUAACUGUUCACGUUUCGACGGUAUCUAACCAGAAAGCCACGGCUAACUACGUGCCAGCCGCCGCGGUAAUACGUAGGUGGCAAGCGUUAUCCGGAUUUAGUGGGCGUAAAGGGAACGCAGGCGGUCUUUUAAGUCUGAUGUGGAAGCCGUCGGCUUAACCGGAGUAGUGCAUUGGAAACUGGGAGACUUGAGUGCAGAAGAGGAGAGUGGAACUCCAUGUGUAGCGGUGAAAUGCGUAGAUAUAUGGAAGAACACCAGUGGCGAAAGCGGAUCUCUGGUCUGUAACUGACGCUGAGGUUCGAAAGCGUGGGUAGCAAACAGGAUUAGAUACCCCAGUAGUC
This 465-nucleotide ribosomal RNA is filed under the name uncultured bacterium. Its description in RNAcentral is "partial 16S ribosomal RNA". It matches the Rfam family "Bacterial small subunit ribosomal RNA", at positions 338 to 795 of the family's 1533-position model. The record is from RNAcentral.